RNAcentral lists this ribosomal RNA (800 nucleotides) under uncultured bacterium. RNAcentral's name for it is "bacterial SSU rRNA". It matches the Rfam family "Bacterial small subunit ribosomal RNA", at positions 87 to 883 of the family's 1533-position model. The record is from RNAcentral.
CUGAUUCAGCGGCGGACGGGUGAGUAAUGCCUAGGAAUCUGCCCGAUAGUGGGGGACAACGUUUCGAAAGGAACGCUAAUACCGCAUACGUCCUACGGGAGAAAGUGGGGGAUCUUCGGACCUCACGCUAUCGGAUGAGCCUAGGUCGGAUUAGCUAGUUGGUGAGGUAAUGGCUCACCAAGGCGACGAUCCGUAACUGGUCUGAGAGGAUGAUCAGUCACACUGGAACUGAGACACGGUCCAGACUCCUACGGGAGGCAGCAGUGGGGAAUAUUGGACAAUGGGCGAAAGCCUGAUCCAGCCAUGCCGCGUGUGUGAAGAAGGUCUUCGGAUUGUAAAGCACUUUAAGUUGGGAGGAAGGGCAGUAAGCUAAUACCUUGCUGUUUUGACGUUACCAACAGAAUAAGCACCGGCUAACUUCGUGCCAGCAGCCGCGGUAAUACGAAGGGUGCAAGCGUUAAUCGGAAUUACUGGGCGUAAAGCGCGCGUAGGUGGUUCAGCAAGUUGGAUGUGAAAUCCCCGGGCUCAACCUGGGAACUGCAUCCAAAACUACUGAGCUAGAGUACGGUAGAGGGUGGUGGAAUUUCCUGUGUAGCGGUGAAAUGCGUAGAUAUAGGAAGGAACACCAGUGGCGAAGGCGACCACCUGGACUGAUACUGACACUGAGGUGCGAAAGCGUGGGGAGCAAACAGGAUUAGAUACCCUGGUAGUCCACGCCGUAAACGAUGUCAACUAGCUGUUGGGUUCCUUGAGAACUUAGUAGCGAAGCUAACGCGAUAAGUUGACCGCCUGGGGAGUAC